RNAcentral lists this ribosomal RNA (366 nucleotides) under uncultured bacterium. RNAcentral's name for it is "bacterial SSU rRNA". It matches the Rfam family "Bacterial small subunit ribosomal RNA", at positions 796 to 1166 of the family's 1533-position model. The record is from RNAcentral.
CACGCCGUAAACGAUGAUCACUCGCUGUUGGCGAUACACAGUCAGCGGCUAAGCAAAAGCAUUAAGUGAUCCACCUGGGGAGUACGGCCGCAAGGCUGAAACUCAAAGGAAUUGACGGGGGCCCGCACAAGCGGAGGAACAUGUGGUUUAAUUCGAUGGUACGCGAGGAACCUUACCUGGGCUUAAAUGUAGAGUGCAUUCUGCUGAAAGGCGGAUUUCCUUCGGGACUCUCUGCAAGGUGCUGCAUGGUUGUCGUCAGCUCGUGCCGUGAGGUGUCGGGUUAAGUCCCAUAACGAGCGCAACCCUUAUCGUUAGUUGCCAGCGGGUAAUGCCGGGAACUCUAACGAAACUGCCGGUGUAAACCGA